This 690-nucleotide ribosomal RNA is filed under the name Sticta sp. TW-2018l. RNAcentral describes it as "SSU rRNA". It matches the Rfam family "Bacterial small subunit ribosomal RNA", at positions 406 to 1093 of the family's 1533-position model. The record is from RNAcentral. Lineage: Eukaryota; Fungi; Ascomycota; Lecanoromycetes; Peltigerales; Lobariaceae.
UGAUUGCAUUUAAUUUAAUGUAGUUACUACUUGGUAGUUUAAAUUUCGAGGUAGAAUUAUGAUGAUGACAUUAUCUAUCUAUUAGUCUUGACCAAAUUACGUGCCAGCUGUCGCGGUAAUACGUAGAAGACAAGUGUUAUUCAUCUUUAUUAGGUUUAAAGAGUACCAAGACGGUUAAUAAAGCCCAAAAGAAAUGAAUACGGGGGACACAUUAACUAGAGUUAUAUGAAAGGAAGAGGAACUGUUGAGUGUAGAGAUGAAAUUUAAUUAUACCAGAAGAUAGGCACAGAUUUAUGCGAAGGCAUCUUCUUAUGUAAUAACUGACGUUGUAGGACGAAGGCUUAGGAAGUGAACAGGAUUUGGUACCCCCGUAAUCUAGGCAGAAAAUGAUGAAUGUCAUAGGUUGAAUACAGACAGGUUAAAUUGACUAUCUAAUAGUAAAUAGGUGGUAUAUUAAUCAGUCUAUUAUUGUGUCUAUAAAUGAAAGUGUAAGCAUUCCACCUCAAGAGUAAUUUGGCAACAUUGGAACUGAAAUCAUUAGACCGUUUCUGAAACCAGUAGUGAAGUAUGUUGUUUAAUUAGAUGAUACACAAAAACCUUACCACAAUUUGAAUAUAUAUAAAUUAUAUUUACAAGCGCUGCACGGCUGUCUACAGUUAAUGUCGUGAGACUUUGGUUAGCUCCAUUAAA